UACGUAGGGGGCAAGCGUUGUCCGGAUUUACUGGGCGUAAAGAGCGUGUAGGCGGCCAAGCAGGUCCGUUGUGAAAACUGGAGGCUUAACCUCCAGACGUCGACGGAAACCGCGUGGCUAGAGUCCGGAAGAGGAGAGUGGAAUUCCUGGUGUAGCGGUGAAAUGCGCAGAUAUCAGGAAGAACACCCGUGGCGAAAGCGGCUCUCUGGAACGGUACUGACGCUGAGACGCGAAAGCGUGGGGAGCGAACAGG
This 253-nucleotide ribosomal RNA is filed under the name uncultured bacterium. RNAcentral describes it as "partial 16S ribosomal RNA". It matches the Rfam family "Bacterial small subunit ribosomal RNA", at positions 524 to 776 of the family's 1533-position model. The record is from RNAcentral.